GAUGAACGCUGGCGGCGUGCCUAAUACAUGCAAGUCGAGCGAACGGACGAGAAGCUUGCUUCUCUGAUGUUAGCGGCGGACGGGUGAGUAACACGUGGAUAACCUACCUAUAAGACUGGGAUAACUUCGGGAAACCGGAGCUAAUACCGGAUGAUAUUUUGAGCCGCAUGGUUCAAAAGUGAAAGACGGUCUUGCUGUCACUUAUAGAUGGAUCCGCGCUGCAUUAGCUAGUUGGUAAGGUAACGGCUUACCAAGGCAACGAAGCAUAGCCGACCUGAGAGGGUGAUCGGCCACACUGGAACUGAGACACGGUCCAGACUCCUACGGGAGGCAGCAGUAGGGAAUCUUCCGCAAUGGGCGAAAGCCUGACGGAGCAACGCCGCGUGAGUGAUGAAGGUCUUCGGAUCGUAAAACUCUGUUAUUAGGGAAGAACAUAUGUGUAAGUAACUGUGCACAUCUUGACGGUACCUAAUCAGAAAGCCACGGCUAACUACGUG
RNAcentral lists this ribosomal RNA (497 nucleotides) under uncultured bacterium. RNAcentral describes it as "partial 16S ribosomal RNA". It matches the Rfam family "Bacterial small subunit ribosomal RNA", at positions 28 to 507 of the family's 1533-position model. The record is from RNAcentral.